AUACUUCAGUGGGUAGAGGGGUGAGCUGUAACUCACAGGUCGCUGGUUCAAAUCCGGCU
RNAcentral lists this transfer RNA (59 nucleotides) under Ixodes scapularis (black-legged tick). It matches the Rfam family "tRNA", at positions 7 to 64 of the family's 71-position model. Rfam says of the family: Transfer RNA (tRNA) molecules are approximately 80 nucleotides in length. Lineage: Eukaryota; Metazoa; Arthropoda; Arachnida; Ixodida; Ixodidae. The record is from Rfam by way of RNAcentral.